Molecule: long non-coding RNA, 473 nt
Filed under: Coffea arabica (coffee)
Lineage: Eukaryota; Viridiplantae; Streptophyta; Magnoliopsida; Gentianales; Rubiaceae
Description: long non-coding RNA (CARA_LNC004268)
Source: RNAcentral
UUCAUAGAGCCCACCUUCCAAUUUUUCCAACAACAACAACAACCCAUAUGAAAUUAAGAGCUUAAAGGUAUAAUAGAACUUCCAAAAACUGAAAUUAGAAAGCUUGAUCAUGACUUACUCUAGUUAAUGUCCAAGCCAGAAAUUUCGGCCCCUUUUUGCUCCAGAAAAUCCGUGAGUUUCAGCUCCCUUUUGCAGCUCAAAGUAGUGUCCAAGUGUAGAGCUAAGUGUAUGUGAAGUUGGGUGUGAAUCUAGGAAGGUUUGGUGCAAGUAUUUGGAGAUGGAAAAAUUUGAGAAGCCUUGGUUGUUUUUGCUGCUUGGGUGUCGGCUGCUCUAGUGAGGAAGAAAGAAAUGUUUGGUCUGACUCUUUGGCGUACAAAGAAAGCUUAACAACUAAGAGUUUAGGUGCGCAAAAGUCAACCGCAAAUAGUGCGCAUACGCGCGCGUUUUGUGCUCGAUUUCUCUUAAGUUUGUUG